UUACAAUUUAGCAAAAGUGUGGUGGUUCGGUAGGCUCAGCCCAUUGGGUCAUGAUGGGCCCGAGUGGCACCGGCCCGUUAUCCUCCCACUGCCGGGAGAGGGAGGUUUUCGCUGCUCUGUGAAGCCAGCCUCACGCGGACUCCUCCACUCUAGGACCCGCAAGGCCCAAGCCUUCGCUCGGACCGCACGGAUCAACUCUCGGCUUGGAACGGGCGGGCCAGAAUAUUGCCACCACGAGCCCGGCCCGCAAGACCUGAACCCAUGUUCCACCACAUUGUUGCCCCCACUUAGGUCACAAGCCCGCGCAACUGAGCUCGGCGAACCACUUCGUCGUUCGUGAAGUUAAUAAACUGUUGAAUCCGUUGUCCUUCCCACGAUGUGGGACUUCGUUCAGCUUUGUUGGGAUGAAUGGUAAAUCUGGGUAUGAAGUUUCUUUGAGAGGGAAUGCCCGCAGGAAGUCUACCCAUCUCUCUCUUCACUGCCAUCAGACGAGUAAUAAACAAGACGAUGGAACUGAACACAUUGACCUGUGCAGCUUCCAAUGCACAUAUGCUCUGAGCACUCACAUAUUCUGUCGUGUCUCUUUAAGCUCCUGAGCAUUCAGGAUGGAACUGAGUUUUUGGAAUUUGCACGCCAUCUCAAUUCUUUCCUAAUAAAUCAAUCUGAAUAAUAGUAGGCAAUUCCCAUCAUUUGUACGGCCUGAGGAUCACUUUUAAUUGCACUUUUGAAUUCCCAAUUUCUUUAUCAUUCAUGCCACACUUUUUAAGAUUCCGAUUUGAUUCAGCUUCCUUUAGACUAAUAUUGGACAUGAGGUGUAUGUGUCUUGCACGGCUUUUUUGUCUGUGUCUUGCACGGCUUUUCCUCGACACAAGCACAUCUAUUAUGUAUUCAAGAACCACCAUCUUGUCAUAUCAUUUAAACUAAAACCUGAGAAGCAAAUCUUGUAUCUAUUUCCACUUCUUUUAGUCGAAAAUCUAAUCAUAUAUUAAAACUUCACCUUUUUCUUCGGUAUAUAAAAGUAUCGAGUAAAGUUACAAUUUAGCAAUCCAUCUAAUCACAGAGGUUUUUCCAACACCAACCGCAAUUUCAAUGUAAUUUGUUCAGUCAAUUUUCAAUGGCCCGGAUAAUUUGGCAUCACAUCCAGACUGACGUUUUUGAAGACCAGUAUUUUACGGGAGAGAAAACAGAUAAAAAAAAAAACAAAAAUAAAGAGUGAUGGUUCGGUAGGUUCAGCCCAUUGGGUCAUGAAGGGCCCGUGUGGCACCGGCCCGUAAUCCACCCACCGUCAGGAGCGGGAGGUUUUCGCUGCUCUGUGAAGCCAGCCUCACGCGGACCCCUCCACUCUAUGUUGGUGCCUCUAGAUUUGUCGUUGAAUGGUAAAUCUGGGUAUCAAAGUUUCUUUGGGAGGGAAGACCCCAGGAAGUCUAAACCCAGUUUCUCUCUUCUCUGCCAUCAGAAGGAUACUAAACAAAGACGAUGGAAGGAACUAGGCUCUGACAUAUUCUUUCGUGUCUUUUAAGUUCUUGAGACUAUCACACGUGUAAUCUAUUACAUGAGGCCUCAUUAUCAGUAUUUCUUACCAAACAAGUCCCACGGUAGAAUUGGGUUUGAAAAGUAAAGAUUUGAUUUCAAAAGAAUCUCACCUGGAGCCAAAAAAACGCGACUCGACUCCUAAUCGGGGGCGUAUCGCUCUCCUUCAAUCAUCUAAUUCAAAGCAGCAUGCACUUGACUUGAUCCCUCAAGAUGCCAAUUGAACAUAAAGUCUUAAAUCAAUUCGAGGAAAUCUUCGAGCUGGCCCUUUUUGCGCCUCGAUAAUGCAUAGCGUCUCUCCUCCCACUACCAGAUGAAGAUGGCUUCAUAUCCCAAUUAACAUUAUCAAAAAGUGAUUCAUUUUUUCUGUUCAUCAGUUAUUUGAGCAAUUGACAAUCGCUCGUUAUUGACUUAAAACCAAUAGUAAACAAAUCGCAAAAUACCUAAAUCAUCACAAUCCAUCUCGAUGCAUACACAACUCUUAGCUAAAUACGCGAUUUAGCGUAUGACUACGCGAUUUAGUGUAUGACUCGAAGUUUCCUUUCUUUGAUUAUCACAUUUUAUAUUCUCUCGAUCAUGUGCGCGAGAAAAUCUCCAAAGUCUUCUUUUUUUUCCAUGGACCCAGUAAGACAAAUUACAACCCUUCAACUUUCAAACACCAAAAUACAUUAGGGAAACCAAAAUAGGGAGCACAAACUAGUUUUCUAUAUUUUCUACCGCCAGGAGAGCUUCACCUUCGAUCGGCGAUCUUCGAUCAUGUUCGCCACUAAAAAGCGCAGGAGCAUGUGGAAUGCGAGAUCUUCUUUUGUACUCGCGCAAAUGAUAAAUAUAAAAUGAAAACUAAGCAUGAGAGACGAUAGAGAAUAUUAUAAGAUAAAAUUACUAUCAUGGAACAAAUUACUUAGAAAAACGGUCGUGCUUGGAUUUUUUUCUAUUAUGAAGGCAAAAAUAGAAAUUCUAAUUUCUUGCAAUUCAUUCAAGUAUUUUCCUCUUAAAUAUUAAGUCAUGAGCUCUUGAAAGAGUGCAGUAGAGAAGGAAACUUGCUCGUUGGGAUGGCAUUAAGCAACCACUCUUAUGUAAGCAUUAUUAGUUUGGAUUUCAAAUUAAUGCACUUUGAGAAAAACAAACUAAAAAGAACUCAAAAGAAAAAAAAGAGAGGAAAGAAGCCCCUAAAAAUUCAAAACUGUUCAGUCAAUGAGCAUCAAAACUAUAUGGAUGAUGGAAGGCAAGAGGUGUUGAUAUAAUGCUCACAUGAAUUAAGUAAAAUAAAAAUGACACCGUUAAAGAUUGAUACAAGUUUAGGAUUUCUUAUUUCACAAGAUAAAAGCUUAGAAUAAAUGUGUCAUAAUUGAUAUAGUUUGAUUUUUGUUGUCAUAAAAAAUAUUUAAGGAUAAAUAUGCCACGAUAAAUAUGGUCCAAGUUUUUUCAUGGCUUUUGCCCAAAAGAAUAUAUAUACAAUUGGAUGGUUUUAUGUUUUACAGUGUGAGAAUGGAUGGAGAAAUACAUCUUCUCUUUUGUAAUAACAAUAAUAUAAACUUAACACAAUUACCUGUGUGCUGGAAAAAUGAUUUUAGAAAAGCGCGAUUAAGCGGCCUCGGGACGAGUUCGUAUAUCAGGGAAGAAUUGCCCAGAGAAAUUGGCCACACCUUGUCCAGCUGACGUUUCUGGCAGAAAAGUAAGGAUAUUAAUUAUUAAAAAAAAAAAAGGUGGAGAGAAGGAAAGGAAAACAUAAAAAUAAAAAUAAAAAAAGUGGUGGUUCAGUAGGCUUAGCCCAUUGGGUCACGAUGGGCCCGAGAGACACCGGCCCGUUAUCCUUCCACUGUCGAGAGCGGGAGGUUUUCGCUGCUCUGUGAAGCCAGCCUCACGCGGGCCCCUCCACUCUAGGACCCGCGUGGCCCAAGCCUUCGCCCGGACCGCACGGAUCAACUCUCGGCUUGGAAUGGGCGGGCCAGAACAAAGCCACAGCGAGCCCGGCCCGCAGGAGCUAAGCAAAUGUUCCACCACAAUGUUGCCCCCACUCGGGUUACAAGCCCGCGCAACCAGGCUCGGCG
RNAcentral lists this long non-coding RNA (3581 nucleotides) under Eucalyptus grandis. Its description in RNAcentral is "long non-coding RNA (EGRA_LNC004646)". The record is from RNAcentral. Lineage: Eukaryota; Viridiplantae; Streptophyta; Magnoliopsida; Myrtales; Myrtaceae.